RNAcentral lists this ribosomal RNA (461 nucleotides) under Escherichia coli. RNAcentral describes it as "bacterial SSU rRNA". It matches the Rfam family "Bacterial small subunit ribosomal RNA", at positions 113 to 570 of the family's 1533-position model. The record is from RNAcentral. Lineage: Bacteria; Pseudomonadati; Pseudomonadota; Gammaproteobacteria; Enterobacterales; Enterobacteriaceae.
AUGUCUGGGAAACUGCCUGAUGGAGGGGGAUAACUACUGGAAACGGUAGCUAAUACCGCAUAACGUCGCAAGACCAAAGAGGGGGACCUUCGGGCCUCUUGCCAUCGGAUGUGCCCAGAUGGGAUUAGCUUGUUGGUGGGGUAACGGCUCACCAAGGCGACGAUCCCUAGCUGGUCUGAGAGGAUGACCAGCCACACUGGAACUGAGACACGGUCCAGACUCCUACGGGAGGCAGCAGUGGGGAAUAUUGCACAAUGGGCGCAAGCCUGAUGCAGCCAUGCCGCGUGUAUGAAGAAGGCCUUCGGGUUGUAAAGUACUUUCAGCGGGGAGGAAGGGAGUAAAGUUAAUACCUUUGCUCAUUGACGUUACCCGCAGAAGAAGCACCGGCUAACUCCGUGCCAGCAGCCGCGGUAAUACGGAGGGUGCAAGCGUUAAUCGGAAUUACUGGGCGUAAAGCGCAC